RNAcentral lists this ribosomal RNA (489 nucleotides) under Selenomonas sp. oral taxon G67. RNAcentral describes it as "bacterial SSU rRNA". It matches the Rfam family "Bacterial small subunit ribosomal RNA", at positions 28 to 492 of the family's 1533-position model. Lineage: Bacteria; Bacillati; Bacillota; Negativicutes; Selenomonadales; Selenomonadaceae. The record is from RNAcentral.
GACGAACGCUGGCGGCGUGCUUAACACAUGCAAGUCGAACGGAGCGAAUGAAAGCUUGCUUUUAUGAGCUUAGUGGCAAACGGGUGAGUAACACGUAGACAACCUGCCGACAGGAUGGGGACAACAUUCCGAAAGGAAUGCUAAUACCGAAUGAAGCGGAGGAGAGGCAUCUCUCUUCCGUGAAAGAUGGCCUCUAUUUAUAAGCUAUCACCUGUCGAUGGGUCUGCGUCUGAUUAGCUGGUAGGUGAGGUAACGGCUCACCUAGGCGACGAUCAGUAGCCGGUCUGAGAGGAUGAACGGCCACAUUGGGACUGAGACACGGCCCAAACUCCUACGGGAGGCAGCAGUGGGGAAUCUUCCGCAAUGGGCGAAAGCCUGACGGAGCAACGCCGCGUGAGUGAAGAAGGUCUUCGGAUCGUAAAGCUCUGUUGACGGGGACGAACGUGCGAAGGGUGAAUAAACCUUGUAAUGACGGUACCUUCGAGAGCC